AGGCAGCGCGAUACUGCGCAGCCCUGCCCAGGCUCAGCACCGGACGCUGCUGCCUCCGUGUGAUCUGGGAGCCCGAGCUGGGCCAUUGCUGCUUCCCCGGGUCCGGGGAGACCUGCAUUAAACCUACUGUGCCCAGCCUGCGGUGCGGGAGGGAGUUUCUCCAGCGGGAAGCAGCCCUGGGCUUUGCCGACCCCAGCCCCUGAGCCGGAGACUCCGGGCUGCAGAAUAACAUCCAUGUUUUUCUCCAAAUCGUCUUAUCCUCCCAUGGAACACGGGGAAAAAAUGGCUGCAGUUGAGCCAGUCCAGGAACCGGUGACCUUCAAGGAGGUGGCUGUGUAUUUCACCAAGGAGGAGUGGGCUCUG
This is a long non-coding RNA of Mauremys mutica (yellowpond turtle), 363 nucleotides long. RefSeq lists it as uncharacterized. Lineage: Eukaryota; Metazoa; Chordata; Testudines; Geoemydidae. The transcript is spliced from 3 exons. The record is from RefSeq and is a predicted model, not a curated record.